Molecule: small RNA, 3426 nt
Filed under: Rattus norvegicus (Norway rat)
Lineage: Eukaryota; Metazoa; Chordata; Mammalia; Rodentia; Muridae
Description: uncharacterized LOC100909866
Source: RNAcentral
CACCACCAAUGCUUGGGUUCUGUUCUGGACAAGGGCCUAAUCACAGAGUGGGGUAGGAGGUCCUGAAGGAGGAUAAGAACCAUUAGGGUGGCCGCUUCUGCAAGGACCCACACUGACCACCACCCUCCCUGACUUUUGCUUCAGAUCCAGUCUUCCCUAGGGCCACCAGCAGGUCAGGACCUCAAGCACAAAAGUUUCUACAGGAUAAAACAGGACAAUCGACCUCCCUAACAACUCUGAGAUCCUCAGUUAUGAUUUCCUACCUGAAGAUGCUUGGUUGGAUUUCUCUAUUAGAGACCUUUAAAGAAGUUGAAUUUUCUUUUAGGAAAACUCAGGUAACGACUGAGGAGUCAGCAAACAGUCAUGGAAUGGCGCCAUGUGUGGCUUGCUCCCUGCCAGCCAGUGGGUUAUCUUUUGGUAAAUUGCCUCUCUGUUUUAUUGCAACUGUCUCAGAUAGCCCAGGCUCAAGGUCAUUCUUCAAGUUCCUUAUAUGACUGCGUAUGACCUUGAUCUUUUGAUUUUUCCCGCCUCUACUGUCUGAAUGCUGGGAGUAUAGCCAUGUACCACCAGACCUGGUUUUACGGGAUCCUGCGGAUCAAAUCCAGGGCUUGGUUCAAGUAAGGCAAUCCUUCUGCCAACUGAGCUAGUGAGCCCCAUCUAAGAGACCACUCAACUCUAUUAAGAUGAGCCGAAAAGGGCAACUGAGUCCAGUUUUGGCUCUCUCUAGGUAACACUUCUCGGUGCCUCUCCAUAAACCACAAAGGUGGGAUCCAGAUGCCAUUUAAUACUGUAAUUACAUGGAGGCUGUUUGUUCAUCUAGUUUUGACUUCUCUGUCUGCUGUCUGGAAACAUUUUCUUUUGAGUGAGAUUCAUAUCUCAAGAAGCAAACAGAAAACUAAAAUUCAUGAGUGAGAAGUGGAGAAAAGAUCACUACAACCCCUUGCAAAAUAAAGGGUAUGCACACAACCCCCUGGAUGCACUUCCUAAAAUAGGUGUGUGCCAUUCUGCUCAGCACCCCAGUGCCUGUCCUGGGAGUAGCUGUUCGUGGGCUGUUCUAAUAGAGUGCUAUUAAAUGAUGAGGACAAGAAGUUCUCUUUAGACACUAUGCCCGGAGAGGACGGUCCCAUGCAAAUUCUCCUAUUGUCAUUCUUUUAGCUCAGAUUUAUAAUUGACUUUCUGUUAGCCAUCGUAGCAAGUUAAAUUAAUGCAGCAGGAUUACAGUCGUUAAACAAAUGCUGGGUAAUGCCUGCUUGCUUAUUUUAGCAGUUCCUCAAACCACUGUGGUAGUGCCCACAUAAAGCUUUUGGCUCCAUUGUCACAUUAAUUGAGCUGUACAUGGAGUUUCACCACAGAAGCGAACAUGCCGCUUCGUAGCAAUGAGCAUGAUUUAGGGCUUCUGCCGGACCAAUUUACCUUUGUGUUUUCUCCGUUGCACCUGCUAUUGUCUUAGGUACAAUUUAUGAGUUCAUGACAUCAUCCAUGUAGCUUAAGACAAUUUCUACCUGAUUUAAGGACAGAAGAAGAGGAGGAAGAAUAGAGGGGGUGGGGAAGGAAAAAGAGUUUUUAAAACGGAAACAGCGGCAAAAAUUGUUCCGCACACACCGCAAGAAACCCAAGAGACAUACAUGGUCAGUGAUGGUUUUAACUCAUUUCUGCAUGGAUCAGUCACUUCAGGAAUGGCCUGCCAGCUAAAAGAGCGGGAGAGAAAUAAUUCUUUCAGUCUUGAGUUAAAACCGCAUUGGCACAAAUACAUGGAAGAAAUGAUUGUCAGCCGGACGGACUUAGCCUGCAGUCCACCUGCAGGACCCUGUUGAUGUCCAGGGUCAUCUGCCUGGUGCCACCUUAGAAACUGUCCUGAUUCUGUACAGGACACUGAAUGAUAACACCCUGCAAGUCAGCUGACUGCUGUGUCAUACUGCAUUCCUGCAGAUGCCAGUCGAGAUGCGGCAGAGGCAGACAGCUAGGCACAGAGGAGCCGAGUUGUAAACUUUGCUUUUCCUGAUGCUGCCUACUGUCGCGCAUACGAAGAACAUUACCUCUGUGUAGCCAGGAGCUGAGAUGCAGUCUGAAUGUGCACGGUGGCUUCUGACGUGGCAGCGUGAAUUCUCAGCUGGGCAGUUCAAAAGACACGUACAGAAGCUCUCAUCUAUACUGUCAUCCAUCUGGUUCCUACAAACACUGUCCUGCACCAUGACUGGAAGAAGAAGCAUUUGGAGGUUUCCCCAAGAAACUAGUUGAAUUGAGUCCUGAUGCUUUACAGCCACUAAGAAUAAUCAAUGCCCCUGCCUCUUUCAAAGCUGCUGUCAGUGUGUUUAGUACAGAAAACCACAGCCGCACAUCUGCUGCUAAUAAAAGUUCCUGAUCGGCGAUGCCCGUUGCCUUUCAAAAUGCAUUUCCUUUGCUCCCAAACUGGUCAUGGGCCUAGCCAAAGCUUGUUUCUGUUCUCAAGACAAAUGACACUGUGCUUAUUCCAAGAGGAACAAACGACCAAGUUGAAUCUGUGUCAGCCACUGAAGGAAACAUUGAUUUAGAAGAACUGUGAGCUUUGACUUAAGGAAGAGGCCACUACUAUCCAGUCAAGAACAUCAGCAGGCUCUGGUCCCUGCUUACAGUUCCCUAGAGGGUGAGCCUCAGAACACCUUACAGAGAACCAAGGAGCACUAAUUAUACCCUGAUCAGCUCAAUAGCAAGAGGAUCCAGAAGAUACCCAGGUCCUGGGGACACUAACAGAGAGCCUGAACCAUAGUCUGAUCAUCAGUAGAUGUGGCACAAGGACCCUCAGGAGAUGAACAGAUGACAGUGGAGAAUGUCAGUAAAUGGCGCACUCUAUGUCUUGGCCAUCAUUCAUUGUUUCCCAAAGGCUCCUGUGAGCCCUUGUCAGCUGCCAUGCAGUGUUUGAGGUAUAGGAGAAACAAGCUCAAACAGAAAGGAUAUAAAGAAACACUGUCCUCCUCGACCUGUGCUUUUAAAAAGCUAGCAGAUAAGAUGUAGUUUCAACCAACAUGUUACUUGGAGUCUUGUGUAGCCCAGGCUGACCUCAAUCUUGGUAUGUGACUGAGAAUAACCUUGAACUUCUGAUCUCCUGCUCCCACCUUCCACAGGUUGAGAUUACAAGCCUGUGCCACCAUACUCAGUUUAUGUGGCGACCGGGAUCAAAGUCAGAGCCUCCUGUAGGCACUCUGCCAACAUAGCUACUUGUACUGGAUGGUUUUGUGUGUCAGCUUGACACAAGUUAGAGUCACCAGAAGGAAAGGAGCCUCAGUUGAGAAAAAUGCCUCCAUGAGAUCUAGCUGUAGGGCAUUUUCUUAAUUAGCGAUUGAUAGUGGAAGGUCCAGCCCAUUAUGAGUGGGGCCAUCCCUUGGCUGGUGGUCCUGGGUUCUACAAGUAUGCAGGCUGAGCAAGCCUAGUGGAAGCCAGGAGAAGCCA